RNAcentral lists this ribosomal RNA (468 nucleotides) under uncultured bacterium. Its description in RNAcentral is "partial 16S ribosomal RNA". It matches the Rfam family "Bacterial small subunit ribosomal RNA", at positions 28 to 507 of the family's 1533-position model. The record is from RNAcentral.
GACGAACGCUGGCGGCGUGCUUAACACAUGCAAGUCGAACGGAAAGGCCCUGCUUUUGUGGUGUGCUCGAGUGGCGAACGGGUGAGUAACACGUGAGUAACCUGCUCUUGACUUUGGGAUAACUUCAGGAAACUGGGGCUAAUACCGGAUAGGCGCUCCUGCUGCAUGGUGGGGGUUGGAAAGUUUCGGCGGUUGGGGAUGGACUCGCGGCUUAUCAGCUUGUUGGUGGGGUAGUGGCUUACCAAGGCUUUGACGGGUAGCCGGCCUGAGGGGGUGACCGGCCACAUUGGGACUGGAAAACGGCCCAGACUCCUACGGGAGGCGGCGUGGGGAAAUAUGGCACAAGGGGCGGAGGCCUGAGGCACGAACGCGGCGUGCGGGAUGACGGCCUUCGGGUGGAAAACCGUUUUCGCCGGUGACGAAGCGUGAGUGACGGUAAUGAGUAAAGAAGCACCGGCUAACUACGUG